Molecule: ribosomal RNA, 445 nt
Filed under: uncultured bacterium
Lineage: Bacteria
Description: SSU rRNA
Rfam family: Bacterial small subunit ribosomal RNA
Source: RNAcentral
AGAGCGAACGCUGGCGGCAGGCCUAAUACAUGCAAGUCGAACGGACCCUUCGGGGUUAGUGGCGGACGGGUGAGUAACACGUGGGAACGUGCCCUUUGGUUCGGAACAACUCAGGGAAACUUGAGCUAAUACCGAAUGUGCCCUUCGGGGGAAAGAUUUAUCGCCAUUGGAGCGGCCCGCGUCUGAUUAGCUAGUUGGUGAGGUAAAGGCUCACCAAGGCUACGAUCAGUAGCUGGUCUGAGAGGAUGAUCAGCCACACUGGGACUGAGACACGGCCCAGACUCCUACGGGAGGCAGCAGUAGGGAAUCUUGCGCAAUGGGCGAAAGCCUGACGCAGCCAUGCCGCGUGAAUGAUGAAGGUCUUAGGAUUGUAAAAUUCUUUCAGUCGGGGACGAUAAUGACGGUACCCGCAGAAGAAGCCCGCUAACUUCGCGCCAGCAGCCGC